RNAcentral lists this ribosomal RNA (86 nucleotides) under Gammaproteobacteria bacterium. Its description in RNAcentral is "partial 23S ribosomal RNA". It matches the Rfam family "Bacterial large subunit ribosomal RNA", at positions 2846 to 2925 of the family's 2925-position model. The record is from RNAcentral. RNAcentral also lists the same sequence under 1 other name. Lineage: Bacteria; Pseudomonadati; Pseudomonadota; Gammaproteobacteria.
UACGAGGUUGAUAGGCGGGAUGUGUAAGCGCUGUGAGGCGUUGAGCUAACCCGUACUAAUUGCUCGUGAGGCUUGAUCAUAUAACC